RNAcentral lists this ribosomal RNA (490 nucleotides) under uncultured bacterium. Its description in RNAcentral is "partial 16S ribosomal RNA". It matches the Rfam family "Bacterial small subunit ribosomal RNA", at positions 28 to 507 of the family's 1533-position model. The record is from RNAcentral.
GAUGAACGCUAGCUACAGGCUUAACACAUGCAAGUCGAGGGGCAGCAUGGUCUUAGCUUGCUAAGGCCGAUGGCGACCGGCGCACGGGUGAGUAACACGUAUCCACCCUGCCGUCUACUCUUGGACAGCCUUCUGAAAGGAAGAUUAAUACAAGAUGGCAUCAUGAGUCCGCAUGUUCACAUGAUUAAAGGUAUUCCGGUAGACGAUGGGGAUGCGUUCCAUUAGAUAGUAGGCGGGGUAACGGCCCACCUAGUCUUCGAUGGAUAGGGGUUCUGAGAGGAAGGUCCCCCACAUUGGAACUGAGACACGGUCCAAACUCCUACGGGAGGCAGCAGUGAGGAAUAUUGGUCAAUGGGCGAGAGCCUGAACCAGCCAAGUAGCGUGAAGGAUGACUGCCCUAUGGGUUGUAAACUUCUUUUAUAAAGGAAUAAAGUCGGGUAUGGAUACCCGUUUGCAUGUACUUUAUGAAUAAGGAUCGGCUAACUCCGUG